AUGCUUAAAAUUGAUCCGGCUAAAGCUUUUGAUCGUUUAGAGUGGAAUUUCAUUGUUUCUGCUCUUGCUCCUAAAUGGCUGCAUGGUCAUUUUAUCAACUUGGUGCAUGCCUGUAUUUCCUCUCCCAUGUUCUGUGUUCUCAUUAAUGGUCAACCUUCCCCUAAGUUUAAAACGCAUAGAGGUAUCAAACAAGGUUGUCCCAUGUCUCCUUAUCUUUUUGUCCUGGCCAUAAAUGAACUUUCUAUCAUGCUUAAUGAAGCUCUGCGGGCCAAUCAUUUGCAGGGAAUUUCGCUUGGACCAAACUGCCCUUCUGUUCAUUCUCUUCUUUUUGCAGAUGAUCUCCUGGUCUGUGGUCAGGCUACUUUGCAGGAAGCUCACACUAUGUUUGACUUGAUCCACCACUUUUGUACCCUCUCGGGUCAAAUUCCUAACUGGGAUAAGUCUGCUAUUCUCUUUAGCAGCCAUGUAGUCAAACUAUCAUUAAUGAUAUCAAACUUAUCUUUCCAGUGGCUAACCUUGAUGACAGGUUCACUCACCUUGGUCAUCCUCUGA
Molecule: ribosomal RNA, 552 nt
Filed under: Triticum aestivum (bread wheat)
Lineage: Eukaryota; Viridiplantae; Streptophyta; Magnoliopsida; Poales; Poaceae
Description: partial small subunit ribosomal RNA
Source: RNAcentral